GUGGGUAUAGCGUAGUCGGUUAACGCGUCAGUUUGUGGCACUGAAGACCCUCGGUUCGAAUCCGAGUAUCCACCCCA
This 77-nucleotide transfer RNA is filed under the name Oscillospiraceae bacterium. RNAcentral describes it as "tRNA-His". It matches the Rfam family "tRNA". From Rfam's summary of the family: Transfer RNA (tRNA) molecules are approximately 80 nucleotides in length. Their secondary structure includes four short double-helical elements and three loops (D, anti-codon, and T loops). The record is from RNAcentral. Lineage: Bacteria; Bacillati; Bacillota; Clostridia; Eubacteriales; Oscillospiraceae.